This 2750-nucleotide long non-coding RNA is filed under the name Olea europaea subsp. europaea. The record is from RNAcentral. Lineage: Eukaryota; Viridiplantae; Streptophyta; Magnoliopsida; Lamiales; Oleaceae.
AAAAUAGGUUCACCCUUGCUGUUUGAUUCUGGAAAACAAAGAAUUAAUAUUCAAAGAAAUUGAACACAACCAUUUACGAUCGAAAGGCCACCAAAUCUCGCUAACAUAAUUCAACCAAGAUCUCCCGAGAAGAAUGUGAGACCGCCACCUGCGAAGACUGCUCCUCCAGGCUCCUCCUCACCUCCGCCACCGCUGCUGCCCUGGCAUCAGCCACCUCGUCUGUUCUCUUCUUCAUAUUAGACACCUCAAGGCUCUUACUCAAUCUGCAUGUCUCCGUUGGUGACCUUGGCGUUGUGGGUGCCAACAACAUUUUGGAUGCCCUCAGCGGUGAUGCCGGUAACUUGGCUGAGAAAUUCCUUAUCGGAAGUUCCUCGUCCCCAUUGACAACUUGGUUAGAAUCGUCAAAGUUGAGGGCAUAACUGAGAGGAUCGUAGCUAAAAUCAGCAGAUGCAUGGCGCCUAUGGCGGCGCUUGCAUUUCCCUUUGAUGUCCAUAUGGUCAUUAGGCUUUGAGCAAAUCCAUAUAGAUGACAACCUUCUUGGACUUGGCAUGGAAGAGGAAGAUGAAGAGGCAUCUAAUGAGAAUCCACGGCGGUGUUGGGAUCCAUUGAAGCAAGAGGUAAGGCUCAUAGAGGAUUUCUUGAGCCUCAACCUCAAACUCGACAUCUCGUGCUCGUCCUCCAUUUUUGGCUUGAGGGAAAGAGAUUAUUUGUGGUAUUUGAGACAAAAAGAGUCAAUUCUUGAGGUAGAAGAAUUGUGGGAUGCAUGAGAACAUUGAAUUCUACAUAUAUGUGUUUGGAAGGUCAAAAAUGAAGAAAAUUGGUUUUUCUCUUUUUUUAUGGUCCACCAAAAGAAAUGCGAGAAACCAGAGGAAUUUGUGGACUGAAUUGAGAUUUCUAAAAAUGCCUCUAUACUAAUUGUGACACUUCUUUCUGGUCCUUCAAAUUAUUCUUUCUGGUCCUUCAAAUUAUACUUCGUCCCUGUUGGCUUUAUAGCUUACAAUUGAGUUAACCACCAAGAUAAGCCGUACGAAUAAUUACACAAAAACUUGGAUUUCCAAUAUAUUGAAUGCAUCAGAAGGAAUGCUUAGAAUAUGUUUCGAAUAUAUCAGAAGAAGCUGAUGACAAAGAGAGCAAUACCUCUACGUGCAAGUAUAACUUGUUUUCUACUGAAGAGCAACAUAAAUAAGGCAUGAUUUGCAGGUAAGACAACCCGAGUCAGUCAAAAAUUCUCUCCCCAGUGGAGAAUAGAAGAAACAAAAUUGAACUCAAGAUACAAAGUGACCCUGGGAUGAGAAAAACUGCUCUCCAGCUAUCUGGACUAGUGAGAUCCAACUGAGCAGAUUUAGCGGCUUCAAGAAGUCGACCAGUAAGAUCAACCCCAACUAUGCCAGCUAAAGUACCAGCUGUGUUAGAAACCCCCAUUACAAUUCCAGCAUACCUUGGAGCAAUAUCCAUGUGAUUUACUGCAAAUCCAGCUCUCCCCAGUGCCAAGAAACCAAGAGCCACAGAAGAACAAAACACAACUCCAUCAGGUGUUCUGAACCUGGGAAGAGCCAUUAAUGCAAAAGAAGCCACCACAAAUCCUAUGGUAUUUAAAAGCUUUCUUGUUCUAGUCACAGACAAGACUUUCCUGGUAAUCAAGUGAUCAGCAAUCACCCCACCGAUAUUUGAGAACAGAAACAUGUUGAAAUAAGGCAUCAUCUUAGAAGAUCCCAUGUUUUCAAGACUAAGCUGAAGGCCCAAUUCAAAGUAUGUUGGGAGCCAGUUCAUGAGAACGUAAAGAGCAUAAUGGAAAGUGAAAUUAUUCACCACAAUUGCCCAAACUGGCAAACUGAAAAUAAUUUUCUUCCAUGGAAUUUUUGGGGUUCUGUUGGAAUGUCCUCCAUUCUCAACUUUCGUCUUUUGGUUCCCUUUAAUUGGCAGCAAUAAUUCUCCAAAUCCAGCAGCAGUGGCUUUUGGAUGCUCAGAACGAGGUGGGUCAACGGCAUACUUAAACCAAAGUAGAGACCAAAUGGAACCUAAAGCAGCUUCAGCAAGAAAUACCGAUUGCGGACCUCGAAACUUGACCAGGCUAGGAAGCACAAGCAUUCCUGCGGCUGCACCAAAAUACAUCCCCGAAGUUGUCAGAGAAACGGAUCUUGAUCUUUCAUGUGGUGGUACCCAUUGUGCCAGUAUAGUGUGAAUGGAGGGAAAGAUGAAGCCUUGGGCAACUCCGACAAGCAAGCGGGAUAUGACCAAUAUCGUAACUCGGUUCAGAUCAAGUGGCAUAAAAGCACAAGUUAUAGACCAUAAAACAAAUGAAAGUAAGAGAAUACGCCUUCCCCCAAUUUUCUGGGCCGCCCAACCACCCGGAACUUGUGAACACACAUACCCAUAAUAGAAUGUCGAAAGUAUCAUGCCCUUGCUCGAUUGAUUUACUCCUGAGGCAUCAGCAGCAGCAGUAUAUGCAAUGGAAAAACCCACACGUUCUAUGUAGCAGACAGAAGUACAGAUGAAGGUCAAAAUGACAAUCACGUAGCGCUUUGGAAUGUUUGUUCUCUUCAUUCUCUUCAUUCUCUUUUGGGUUUAUGAAAAGAAAUCAUAUAGAUAUGGACGACUCAAAUACUUAACAAACUAUCUGUAACUUUACAUGUCUUUGAUUUUUACCGAAAUGAUUCCAAAACAACAGCAGCAAUUCCAAGACUCCAGAAGCAGCCAAACUAGAAGCCCUUCCUGGAUUAAAAAAUUGAACAGGAUAUAUUAUCAAGAAG